UUACAAUCUCCCCUAGAAGCAUUUGACUGCGAAUCUUCUGGGCAAGAAAGGAGCUUGCUUCCUGAGGCAGAGCCUAUUUUUCCACAGGGAAAGAGGAAUGGCCUGCCCCUCAGUGGCAAGGACAGGUGGGGACCCUAACUCUGCAUUUCUCUGGGCGAAACAGCUGCAAUUCUAUCAACACUUCUUCACAGAAGAGGAAUUCACCUUGGAGCCCAUUCAUUACCCUUGGACCAUGCUCCUCUGAAAGCAAAGCGAGAUACUCAGAACUAAGUCAACAUUCGAGAUAACACAUGACCAGAGCCAACUAGAGUGGAAGCUGACCUUUUUGUUUCCUGGAUACUGUAUUCAAGAUGCCACUCUGAUCCAAGACUGUCAGUAUCAGGAGUUGUCUGAGACACAUCUGUGUCUGAACAAUUUAAUGAUUCCUAUUGAGUCUACCAUAGUGUCUGGGUCAACAAAAAUGUGCCUAAUUUGCAUAUUUAAGCAGAACCAAAUCAAAGGGGCAGUAUUUACUAAAAUUUAAAAUGACCGCCAUAGCAAGGCAAUACAUCUAUUCUGUGUACAUGGUGUUCCUGGAUGAAGUACCCUUGGAAAAAUGGCACCCUGGUGUGAAGGGAGAGUAACCGCACCAUCACCACCACAAUCCUGUCAAGCCUUCCGACACAGCUGGAGAUGGAGCUCAGAUCUGGAGCGAACCUGAGAAUUUGAAGGUCACCUUCUAAGCAGUGUUGCAGACCUCAGCCCAGCAAAAAUAAUGGAUUCCACUGGGAUGCUCUCUGCCCCAAUCUUGCCAUCUCAAGGUUCUGCGGCCUGAGUGACCCCAAGCAAGCUUCGCUUGUCUCUGAGCUUUCGAAUGCAUCUCUGCUGCUAAUGUCAGCUGGGCGAAGACAGGGCAGGUGGUAGUCCCAACCUUCUCCUUUUCACCACUGCAUCAUUUAUCCAUUCACCUGACAAUUAUCAAGAGGCUCCUGUCUGCUGGACACCACACUGGGCUUUGUCAACCUCAAAAUGGAAAAGACUCUCAAAGGACAAAGUGACUUGGCAAGCAAGUCAUUGCCACAGAAUCACAUCAGGCACUCGGAGGAGGGACUCAUCGCCUUGCUUGAAGGAUCAAAGAAGGUUCCACAAGGAGGUGAUGUUUGUGCUUGAUUCUGCAAUAGUUUGCCUGGCAAAAGAGAAGGAGGGAAGGACUUUGAAGUUAAAAAAUAUAUCAGCAUGAAAACAUAGGGGUAAUAUAAGGAGGAUUUGGUGAUAUAAAGUGGGGAGUGACACAUACACGCACGCAUAUAUAAUCCACUGUCUACUAUAUACCAAGCAUUGAGCCAAGUGCAUUUGUAUGCAUUAUCUCAUUUAAUUACAAGACAACGCCCUGAACUAGGACUUCUUAAAUCUCCAUUUUACCAAUGAAGAAGGUUAGUAAUUGUUGUUACCCAAGGUCCUAUGGCUCAUCAGGUGUUGCUAACACCAUAGCUGUUGCUCUUAGUGACCAUCCAAGCAGGUUCAGACAAGGUGAUAAAGGUCCUUCCAAGCCAUAUAAGGCCUAGGGUCUUUAUCCCAAUGGCAACCGGACACCGUUAAUGUGUUUACAAUAGGGCAUCAAAGUCCUGUGGCUAAGUUUCAGAAAGAUAAUGACACAGCAGGAAUGUGGAGGAAGGGGUGGAGUGGGAAGAGGCCAGAGACAGGGAAACCAAUUAGGAAAGCAUGAACAUGGUCUAGGUCAGGACUGGUGGAAACUUGAAUGAAGGCAGGAGUGAGAGAACAGCAAAGGUGGAGGUAUGAGGUCAUUCAGAAAUAAGAGCGAAAGGACAAAUGUAGAGUGCUGGAUGGCCAGGGUUACCAGAUUCUUUGUUGCAAACCACAGAAGCUAUGUAUUUGGUCUGGUUUAAGAAGAAAAUGAAUUCGCUAAAUCAUAGAGCUGAUGGAGUGAGUCUCUGGGAGGGUCAGAGAAUCAGAGCUGCAAGUUUUGCAAUGAGAGAGGCACCUGAAUUACAUUAGACCACUCUCACAGAAACCCUGCUAUCCUGCCACCAUUGGGCUUAAGGACUUGGACAUCUAGGUAUCGGUUUCCUAUUGCUGCCAUAACCAAUCGCCAUACACGUGGUAGUUGAAGACGAUGCACAUUUUUUCUAUUGCAGUUCUGGAAGUCAGACGUCUGAAGCGGGUCUCACUGGGCUUAAAUCAAGGCACUCGCAUCCCCUUGGCUUAUGUCACCAUCUUCUAUCUUCAAAGGCAGCAGAACCACACCCGCAAACCUGUCUUUCUCUCUCAUUUCUGCUUCUAUUGCCAUAUCUCCUUCCCUCACUCUGCUCUUGCCAUCACAUCACCUUCUCUGACUCUGACCCUCCUGCCUCCUCCUUACGAGGACUCUACAGAGUACCUCAGGUCCACCCAGAUAAUCCAGGGUAACUCGCCAUCUCAAGGUCCUGAGCUCAGUCACACCUGCUGCAUGGAUUCAUGCUCAGGUUCUAAAGAUUCGGACGUGGACAUCCUCAGAAGGCUGUUAUCCUGCCUACUAUAGCCGUUCAUCUUUCAGUUACUGGGUUCUAGCAAAGGACCUCAUAAGCCCGGUCUGUGAAAUGCUGGAUGUCACCGCAUCUGCCCUUACCCAGAAGGCUUCAGUGCCAUCCUUCUUCCCGUCUGUAGGUCGCAAAUCACAGCCGCCUGGGUUGUAUGCGAUCAGAGGGGUUUGGAUCACAUGCCCAAACCUUAGCUGCAGGGAGAGCUUACAAAGCAAGCUCUGACUUCCUCCUUAGGGAUCAUCAGGCUCUGAAGAGUGGGUGUCCCGAAGUUGCUGGGUGGUCAUAAAUUUGGCAGACAAUGACUAAACCUGGUCAGACCUCAGGCUGCGGCAUGGGUAUUGUUGCCAGGAUCACACGGAAGAGGAGCAUCUGCAAAGGGGAACCAGAACAGUAGGGUUGGUGAGGGAGCCUGACACCAUGACUCAGGAGUAUUUGUAGACUUGGGGACAUAUGGAGAGUCUUCAAAGGCAUGUGUGCCUGGGGUUUCCUAACAGUGAAGGAAGGGCUUGCACGGGGAAGAGAGAUCAGACUUGUGUGUCUCCAAAAGGCUAGGACUACGGGCAGAUACACUAGCAACGUGUUCUGCCUGUCAACCAGCACGCUCCAGAGACCUCGAUGGGCAAUGGGUUUGCUGCCACUUCAAUUUUGAGGCAGAAGCGAGAUGACAAGAUUUGGGGGCACAAAGAGGGCAUUCAAAUAUCAGAUGAAAAUUGCAUUAGAUAACUUCUAAGUUUUUAUCAUUUUGUUCUUACCCAAUA
Long non-coding RNA from Mustela erminea (ermine), 3277 nucleotides. RefSeq lists it as uncharacterized. NCBI's taxonomy places the organism in Eukaryota, Metazoa, Chordata, Mammalia, Carnivora, Mustelidae. The transcript has 8 exons. The record is from RefSeq and is a predicted model, not a curated record.